Humulus lupulus (European hop) is the source of this 937-nucleotide long non-coding RNA. RefSeq lists it as uncharacterized. The transcript is spliced from 4 exons. NCBI's taxonomy places the organism in Eukaryota, Viridiplantae, Streptophyta, Magnoliopsida, Rosales, Cannabaceae. The record is from RefSeq and is a predicted model, not a curated record.
UAGGGAUUCGAAUUGGGGCUCUAGGAUUUAUUUCUGAUCAGCCACAAAAUUGACCAAGAAGAAAAGGAAGUAGAGAGAGGCGUGCGGCUGAAGAGCUCUCAUCGACGGUGAAGGAUCCAGUUGGCGACGACGAAGGCUCCUACUGCAGACGGUGAAGUCAACUGGUGUGUUGUCGUCAACAUGUUGGGUUCCUGCUGCAUGCGUACGAAGAUGGAGAAGAAGGCAGGUGUAGACGCACGGCUCCUAGGUUUUCUCGGCUCCGACAACUGUAGCAGAGGAUCUCGACGGAGACACUGUUGGAGAAGGUCUCGACAACAGUUUUUUUUUUUGCUUCAUUUCUUUGAUAGAUAAUGCUUUCAAUUCACCCAGUAGUGACGUUGCGAUAAGGGCUCAGGCUGUACGAUGAAGGUGGUUCGAUGGUAGUCAUUGGCAUCAAUGGUGCAGGUGAUUUCUUCAAUUGAGUUUUUGAGUAGCUAGUGACGGCUUGGGAAUGAUUACAUGACAGUGGCUUGCUGGGUUCAUAACUUCAACGAAGGCUCAAGGAAGAAGAUAUAGCAGGUGGACUGGCGAGGGAACUUGAGGCGCCAGGGGCACACGAUUAAUUUUCUAGACCUCAUAAUUUUGGAGCUGAAAUCAUUAUGGUUCAUAUUUUGAUGUCUUAAAGCAUUGGAUUGGUAGCUAAUUGCAAGAGGUAGAAACUUGAACGUUUGUGGUGAUAUUGAUGAGGAUGAUUUUUUGCAAAGGGACGAAGAAGUUGCUUGAAGAAUCCAUUGUUACCUCAAGUUAUUAUUAUUAGACUUCCUAGUUUUGUAUUAUAAAUGUGAGAAGAUUGAUUAUUUAUAUUUGUUCCCAAAUUUAUUUUUUUAGAUUUGUAACUAUCUCAUUGAAUGUACAAUUUUUGUUACAUUAAUCUAUAAAUUUUCACAUUUGUAUAUAA